AAAACUACCUGGGUGAGGAAGUAUCUUGAUCAGGAAGGUGAUCCUCCCAUGGCAAAGGUUUAGCUCUUUCACUCUGUUAGGAAUGACCUCUGUCAUUUUUCCAAAUAUGAGAAACUCAACUUCUGACUCUGUGGAAGAUACAAUAUUCUCUGUUC
Molecule: small nuclear RNA, 155 nt
Filed under: Catagonus wagneri (Chacoan peccary)
Lineage: Eukaryota; Metazoa; Chordata; Mammalia; Artiodactyla; Tayassuidae
Description: U1 spliceosomal RNA (ENSCWAG00000003575.1)
Rfam family: U1 spliceosomal RNA
About the family: U1 is a small nuclear RNA (snRNA) component of the spliceosome (involved in pre-mRNA splicing). Its 5' end forms complementary base pairs with the 5' splice junction, thus defining the 5' donor site of an intron.
Source: RNAcentral